Long non-coding RNA from Juglans microcarpa x Juglans regia, 149 nucleotides. RefSeq lists it as uncharacterized. Lineage: Eukaryota; Viridiplantae; Streptophyta; Magnoliopsida; Fagales; Juglandaceae. The record is from RefSeq and is a predicted model, not a curated record. The transcript is spliced from 3 exons.
UAUAUUUAUAAUUUAUUCUUAUAAAAGGUUAAUUACACUUUACUCCCUCCAACUAUCACCCAAUCCACAAUGUGCCCCUGAAACUAUUGAUUGCAUCAAAGUGGACCCUCUUACUUUUUAAAACGUCACAAUCCCCCCCUUCUAUCUAC